UUACUCAAAUGAGAGGAGUGGGAGAAGCGACUCCACUGGAAACAGUUAAAAAUGUUUUAAAUGAUAUUAUGGAAUACAGGCAUUAUUUAGCGAGAAUGGAAAAAAAGAAAAAAGUAAAUUUAAGAGCACUCUUUAUUAUAAAUGCAUAAAAGAUACUAUUGUUGGUGACAAAAUUGGUUAUGAUGCAAGCAACAUCGAGGGUGCCAUUGGCGACAUAUUAAAACGACCCAAAAAAUAAUGUUUUUGCUAGAUUGUAUUUAUAUAUUAAUAUUGUCAAAAAUAUUGCUCUUUUAA
Hydra vulgaris (swiftwater hydra) is the source of this 294-nucleotide long non-coding RNA. RefSeq lists it as uncharacterized. The record is from RefSeq and is a predicted model, not a curated record. NCBI's taxonomy places the organism in Eukaryota, Metazoa, Cnidaria, Hydrozoa, Anthoathecata, Hydridae.